Molecule: ribosomal RNA, 52 nt
Filed under: Terfezia leptoderma
Lineage: Eukaryota; Fungi; Ascomycota; Pezizomycetes; Pezizales; Pezizaceae
Description: partial 28S ribosomal RNA
Source: RNAcentral
UGACCUCAGAUCAGGUAGGGAUACCCGCUGAACUUAAGCAUAUCAAUAAGCG